RNAcentral lists this ribosomal RNA (345 nucleotides) under Anaplasma phagocytophilum. Its description in RNAcentral is "bacterial SSU rRNA". It matches the Rfam family "Bacterial small subunit ribosomal RNA", at positions 90 to 453 of the family's 1533-position model. The record is from RNAcentral. Lineage: Bacteria; Pseudomonadati; Pseudomonadota; Alphaproteobacteria; Rickettsiales; Anaplasmataceae.
AAUUAGUGGCAGACGGGUGAGUAUGCAUAGGAAUCUACCUAGUAGUAUAGGAUAGCCACUAGAAAUGGUGGGUAAUACUGUAUAAUCCCUGCGGGGGAAAGAUUUAUCGCUACAUGAUGAGCCUAUGUUAGAUUAGCUAGUUGGUGGGGUAAUGGCCUACCAAGGCAGUGAUCUAUAGCUGGUCUGAGAGGAUGAUCAGCCACACUGGAACUGAGACACGGUCCAGACUCCUACGGGAGGCAGCAGUGGGGAAUAUUGGACAAUGGGCGCAAGCCUGAUCCAGCUAUGCCGCGUGAGUGAGGAAGGCCUUAGGGUUGUAAAACUCCUUCAGUAGGGAAGAUAAUG